UCGAGUGGCGAACGGGUGAGUAACACGUGGGUGAUCUGCCCUGUACUUUGGGAUAAGCCUGGGAAACUGGGUCUAAUACCGAAUAUGACCACUUCUUGGAUGGGGUGGUGGAAAGCUUUUGCGGUAUGGGAUGAGCUCGCGGCCUAUCAGCUUGUUGGUGGGGUAAUGGCCUACCAAGGCGUCGACGGGUAGCCGGCCUGAGAGGGUGUACGGCCACAUUGGGACUGAGAUACGGCCCAGACUCCUACGGGAGGCAGCAGUGGGGAAUAUUGCACAAUGGGCGCAAGCCUGAUGCAGCGACGCCGCGUGGGGGACGACGGCCUUCGGGUUGUAAACUCCUUUCGCAACCGACGAAGCUUUUGUGACGGUAGGUUGAGAAGAAGCACCGGCUAACUACGUGCCAGCAGCCGCGGUAAUACGUAGGGUGCGAGCGUUGUCCGGAAUUACUGGGCGUAAAGAGCUCGUAGGUGGUUUGUCGCGUCGUUUGUGGAAUACCGCAGCUUAACUGCGGGGUUGCAGGCGAUACGGGCAUAACUUGAGUGCUGUAGGGGAGACUGGAAUUCCUGGUGUAGCGGUGGAAUGCGCAGAUAUCAGGAGGAACACCGAUGGCGAAGGCAGG
Molecule: ribosomal RNA, 619 nt
Filed under: uncultured Actinomycetes bacterium
Lineage: Bacteria; Bacillati; Actinomycetota; Actinomycetes
Description: bacterial SSU rRNA
Rfam family: Bacterial small subunit ribosomal RNA
Source: RNAcentral